Molecule: signal recognition particle RNA, 97 nt
Filed under: Candidatus Pelagibacter sp.
Lineage: Bacteria; Pseudomonadati; Pseudomonadota; Alphaproteobacteria; Candidatus Pelagibacterales; Candidatus Pelagibacteraceae
Also listed under: 1 other name
Description: signal recognition particle sRNA small type
Rfam family: Bacterial small signal recognition particle RNA
About the family: The signal recognition particle (SRP) is a universally conserved ribonucleoprotein involved in the co-translational targeting of proteins to membranes. Archaeal SRP consists of a 7S RNA and homologues of the eukaryotic SRP19 and SRP54 proteins.
Source: RNAcentral
UUUGGAGGCCAAUCAGGUGAAAGUGCCAUGAACUCCCCCAGGUUUGAAAAAGAGCAAGGGUAAUGAGUAAUAUUCAGGUUGGUUGGUCUCCUUUAUA